This 98-nucleotide small nucleolar RNA is filed under the name Cyphellophora attinorum. RNAcentral describes it as "Phialophora attae Small nucleolar RNA snR73". It matches the Rfam family "Small nucleolar RNA snR73". The record is from Rfam by way of RNAcentral. Lineage: Eukaryota; Fungi; Ascomycota; Eurotiomycetes; Chaetothyriales; Cyphellophoraceae.
UACAAUGAUGAUUUACUCUAUUAUCACGACGGUCAACGCAGCCACUCAAAGAGAUGGCAUUGACGACCACCAGCCUGUGACAGGGCUUAGAUCUGAAC